This 344-nucleotide long non-coding RNA is filed under the name Elaeis guineensis (African oil palm). RNAcentral describes it as "long non-coding RNA (EGUI_LNC050027)". The record is from RNAcentral. Lineage: Eukaryota; Viridiplantae; Streptophyta; Magnoliopsida; Arecales; Arecaceae.
CUGUACUUUAUCUGUGAAAACAUAAGUAUCCAAUUGCAUCUAUCACUAUAGAUCUUUAGGACACUCCCUUUAUGUCUUUUAUGGAGAAAUCUAUAUUCAACCAUAUUUUGAUCGAUGUCAGUUUUAGACACUCCCACUGACCCUUUUUAAACCCAUAAUUCAUCAUAUCUGAUCAAACAAUUUGACUAUUCCAACUCCAAGAUUUUUUAUAGACUUUGUGAUCUCCUAUCAUAAGAAGUGAAAUCCAUAAGCUAUUUCAUAUAGAAAUCUGCAGAAGAUCUCUACUCAGAAAAGUUAUUUCACAUCCCUUUCUCAGAGUCGAUGUCGUACAUCGCCUCAUCGUA